This 2835-nucleotide ribosomal RNA is filed under the name Triticum aestivum (bread wheat). Its description in RNAcentral is "partial small subunit ribosomal RNA". Lineage: Eukaryota; Viridiplantae; Streptophyta; Magnoliopsida; Poales; Poaceae. The record is from RNAcentral.
AUGGAUGUACUGGAUAAGCAGGAUGGAGAUGAUGAUUUUAAUGGAGUUGAUAAAAUUUCAAGGGAUGAAAUAACAAUUGUGUCAGAAGAGAUCUAUCACAUUAUGAAGGACAGUAGAUUUAUUCUUAUUUUCCAUUCCGGGGUUGAUGAUGAGAUCGAUCUAUAUCCCCUUGGUAUUCCUUCAUUUGGCAAGUUCACAAAGAACAUAAUGAUAUGGACAUACAAAAGGAGGAUAUUGACCAUAACAGAAUACGAACAACAUAAACUAAUACAAAAACUGAGGUACACCCAUCUUUUGGCUUAUGAUAGAGAAAAAUAUUUAACAAGUGGACAGUUGUAUGCACUAUUGUGUAAAGAGGCUGCCCUCAUAGCUGCUCGCUAUCAAUGCUUGUGGGGAGUCAAUCCAAUGAANNNNNNNNNNGUUGCUGACUGUUAUGUUUACACACUAUUCCUGCAACGUAGUUUUCACAACAAGACCAAUUCUGAUUGGGUUGGUGUUGCUUCCAAUUGUUGGAUAUGUGAUGGGAUACUGCAGAAAGACAUAACAUUGGAGAUACGUGACGUGUUGCACCGAGAGAUAAGCUGGGAGUGUGAUGAUAAUGUGCUCGCAAAGUUCAAGAAAGAUUUCAAGCUUCCUUUCCUGAUUGUUAAAGAAGAUGGUGUGUAUGAAGAAGGACAAUACCGUUGGAUUUCAACCAGGUCAAGUGAUAGGGAAAUACAUGCUAUGAAAUCUUUACCUGAAGAGACAUCGUCAUUCUUCUUGGAAUUUGUAAUGUCCGAUAAGCCAGUAGCAUUACCAGAUGGUUUGUUUGAACAUUCCAACAACCUUGGUGUGCUAUCCCUCUGUUGUUGUGCCUUCAAUUUUGCAUCACCUCCUUUCUUGAAAUGCCAUGGCCUACGAUUCCUUGGGCUGGACAAUUGUACAGAUGACAAAACAGGUGAAGGAAAGGAUUAUGCCGGGUGGGUUUCUCUGCAUAGCUUGUGGGUGUUGGACCUACGCUACACUGUGUGGAAUGAAAUCUUAUCGCAGGAAAAGUUGGAUCUAAUGGAUAACCUCGUGGAGCUUAGCAUGGAGGGAGUCUGGUGUUGGCAGUACAUAAGUUGCUUACAAGGCCGGCUACCGAAUCUUCAAAGGCUCAGGAUAAUCAAGCCUACACGUGGACCCGAUAUUUCAACAGAUCCAAGCAACUCCUUCAUGGACAAAGCAAAGCUAGAAAUACUUGACCUGUCUGGCAACAGUGAGAUGAACAUUGUACCAAACAGCCUAUCUAAGGCAAGUAGGCUCGAAGUGCUUAUUCUGGAUGGUUGCAAUGAGCUUAAAGAUGUUGUUGUCCCUGAUGGGCUACCUCGCUUGCUGAAGUCCUUCAGCUUUGAUGGAUAUGGGUCUGUUUCCUGCCGGGCACCAACUGUUGAGCUACCUUCGAAACAAGAACGUCCAUCUACCCCAACAACAAAGGAGGGUGCCAGUAUCUCUAAGAUUUCCCUCGAAGGUUGCUCACAAUUGGAGAAUUUGUUUGUUCGUGGAUUGGACAAUCUCGUUGAGCUUGACCUCUCCGGAGCUGCAAUCAAGACACUUAAUUUCAAUACUAUGGUGUUAGAAGUACCAAUGUUGAAGCGAUUAUUUCUGCUAGGAUGUGAGCACCUUCGGGCAAUAAUUUGGAGCAGCCUUACUGAUAGCUUCAAGUUGGAAUUGUUAUGCAUUGAUACGCGAGCUGGAACUGGCCGUUCUCGGCCAUGCAUUGACCGGAACAAUUCCUUUCAGUUGGAGGUGCACGCCAUUGUUGUGGAUGCAAGGCUUGCUCGGUCAGUGUGGCAACUAUUAUGUAAUCAUUAUGCAGCUGCUGAGAAUGUUUAUCUUAAUAUCCAUGUCACCUCUGCUGUGUAUAGUGAGCUGAGUCAAUCCAAAGUGAAAGAAAAGGAGAAGAAGAUUGACAUGUAUGGAGAUCAAGUUAGCCUGCUGCAGCUUGUUCAAGCAGACCGGUACAGUGAUGUCCAAAGCAUGGUUGGUGAUGCCCCUGCUGCAGCCUUUCCUAAGCCUCCGGCUAACAACCUGGAUCGGCAUAUCGAGAUUACUAAAGGGAGCCACGUCUUGGACAGUGGACUGGGAUAUGUGAUGACAAGGUUUGCUGAUUCCCUGCAUGUCCACGAUGUCUCAACUAGUGCUAGUUUGCCGACGGGAUACAGCCCGCAGGUUCUCAGGCAAUGCCGCAUGGAGAGGUGCCCCAAGUUGGGUGAAGUCUUCCCGAGGGGAUCACGUGAAUUUUGGCAGCUGGAGACCUUUUGGGCGUCAGAUCUCCUGAUGGCCAGCUGGAUAUGCAGUAAAGGUGGUUACCGUUACCACGGGUUCAAUGAUGGUUCGUUCGGAAAGCUGCAGCAUCUACGGUUGCGCUCUUGCCCCAGGCUCCAGUUCGUGCUCCCUGUGUGGUUCCGCUCCUUCCCAAGUUUGGAGACCCUCCACAUCAUCCACUGCGGAGACCUCAGGCACAUAUUCGUGCUAGACGAGAAAUAUUGGUACCCAGAUAUCAUCCAAGUUGUAGCAUUCCCAAGGCUGACAACCAUCCACCUGCACGACCUGCCAGUGCUGCAGCAGAUCUGCGAGGUGGAGAUGGUGGCACCAAAGCUCAAUACCAUCAAGAUUAGAGGAUGCUGGGGCCUGCGCCGGCUGCCGGUGGUGGGUGCCCGCAGCGGAGACAUGAAGAAGCCGACCGUCGAGAUCGAGAAAGACGUCUGGGACUCUCUGGAGUGGGACGAGGAGGUGGCCGCUGGCCACUUUGAGGCGCCGGUGCACUCACGCUACUACAAGAAGAAACUGCCAAGGGUCUCCGUGCUCAGGUGA